Long non-coding RNA from Rhipicephalus sanguineus (brown dog tick), 673 nucleotides. RefSeq lists it as uncharacterized. Lineage: Eukaryota; Metazoa; Arthropoda; Arachnida; Ixodida; Ixodidae. The record is from RefSeq and is a predicted model, not a curated record. The transcript is spliced from 3 exons.
CACGAGGGACACCCUAGCAGCCGCUACCGUAGGCGACGCCCGAGUCGGGGCGGGAACGUGGUGGCGUUCCGCCAGUUCUUGGGGCCCUCUGGACUGCCUUGAGUUGGGGGUGGAGCUCGGAGCUACUGAGUGCCUCUUCCCAGUCGAACUAACUGGUGACUGGUCCCCGAGGAUCCGGAGAGUAGCAGAAUUCGCGACGUGUCCUGCGCUGCCCAGGGGUUCAGCUGUUUCGACAAUGCUUCGCAGCGGCUCGGUUACCCAUACCAGCGUACUUGGUGUCUUCUCCAUCUGGUACUCUGGGGUUCUGUCGAUCAAGUGUUCUGCACGACCGAGCGUGCUUGUCAGCGAGUUGCGUUCUCACCGCAAUCGAGAUGUUCAACCAUUGCAGUAACGGUGGACCAAGAGCAGCAGAGUUCAAGGACUAUCAAAUGCUGGGUGAAGAGGAGAAGGCUGGAGGUCGGCGAAAGUGAAGGUGAUUCCGUGAGCGGCUCCUGCGGUGUGCGUCUGCUUCGAAGGAGAACUCGCCCAAAUCGGGGAAGAAGCGUCGAUUAAAGGCAGCCGCGACGUCAACGAGUGCUUACGCGAACGAAUGCGUGACCACCCUGUACGCAUUGGAUAUGCCCCUAGACUCUGCGCUAUAUUUAUGCGCUGGACGUCGUAUAUGUACAUAUUU